CGGCCGAACAGGUCCAUCGGGAAAUCUGCCCGCCUAACGGGCAGGCGUCCGGUGGAAACCGUUCGGCUUGGGGCCGGAAGACCCGAGGGGUACGUCCGGGGUAGGAGUGAAAUCCCGUAAUCCUGGACGGACCGCCGGUCGCGAAAGCGCCUCGGGAGGACGGACCCGACGGUCAGGGACGAAAGCUGGGGUCUCGAACCGGAUUAGAUACCCGGGUAGUCCCAGCUGUAAACGAUGCCCGCUAGGUGUGGCGCAGGCUACGAGCCUGCGCUGUGCCGUAGGGAAGCCGAGAAGCGGGCCGCCUGGGAA
RNAcentral lists this ribosomal RNA (309 nucleotides) under uncultured archaeon. Its description in RNAcentral is "bacterial SSU rRNA". It matches the Rfam family "Archaeal small subunit ribosomal RNA", at positions 526 to 834 of the family's 1478-position model. The record is from RNAcentral.